This 327-nucleotide ribosomal RNA is filed under the name uncultured eukaryote. RNAcentral's name for it is "partial 18S ribosomal RNA". It matches the Rfam family "Eukaryotic small subunit ribosomal RNA", at positions 1470 to 1796 of the family's 1831-position model. The record is from RNAcentral.
CCCCUAGAUGUUCUGGGCCGCACGCGCGCUACACUGAACAGUUCAACAAGUCUUAACCUUGGCCGAUAGGUCUGGGUAAUCUUUGAACGCUGUUCGUGAUUGGGAUAGACCUUUGCAAUUAUGGGUCUUCAACGAGGAAUUCCUAGUAAACGCAAGUCAUCAGCUUGCAUUGAUUACGUCCCUGCCCUUUGUACACACCGCCCGUCGCACCUACCGAUUGAAUGGUCCGGUGAAAUCUUCGGAUCUGAGAGAUGUUGGAUUAAUUUCUGACGCCUUUUGGAAAAGUCGCUUAAACCUUAUCAUUUAGAGGAAGGUGAAGUCGUAACA